GAGCGGCAGACGGGUGAGUAAUACGUUGGAACCUGCCCCAAAGUCAGGGAUAACCAGUAGAAAUAUUGGCUAAUACCGGAUAGUCACGAAAGUGUAAAGCUUUUGCGCUUUGGGAGGGGCCUGCGGUCUAUCAGCUUGUUGGUAAGGUAAUGGCUUACCAAGGCUAUGACGGAUAGCUGGUUUGAGAGAAUGAUCAGCCACAAUGGAACUGAGACACGGUCCAUACUCCUACGGGAGGCAGCAGUGAGGAAUCUUCCGCAAUGGGCGAAAGCCUGACGGAGCAACACCGCGUGAAGGAUGAAGGUCGUAAGAUUGUAAACUUCUUUUCUGAGGGAAGAAUUCUGACGGUACCUCAGGAAUAAGCAUCGGCUAACUACGUGCCAGCAGCCGCGGUAAGACGUAGGAUGCAAGCGUUAUCCGGAAUUAUUGGGCAUAAAGAGUUCGUAGGCGGUUUGUUAAGUUGGAUGUUAAAUUUUUGAGCUCAACUUAAAAAAAGUAUCCAAAACUGGCAAACUGGAGACUGGUAGAGGUAAGUGGAAUUCUGCAUGUAGGGGUAAUAUCCGUAGAUAUGCAGAGGAACACCAAAAGCGAAGGCAGCUUACUGGACCAGUUCUGACGCUCAAGAACGAAAGCGUGGGUAGCGGACGGGAUUAGAUACCCCGGUAGUCCACGCCCUAAACGAUGAACACUAGGUAUUGGAGGUCUCGACCCCUUCAGUGCCGACGCAAAUGCAAUAAGUGUUCCGCCUGGGUAGUACGAGCGCAAGCUUAAAACUCAAAGGAAUAGACGGGGACCCACACAAGCGGUGGAGCAUCUGGUUUAAUUCGACAAUAAGCGAGGAACCUUACCAAGGCUUGACAUCCCGAGAAGAUCGCCGAAAGGUGAUUGUGCCGUUAGGAACUCGGUGACAGGUGCUGCAUGGUUGUCGUCAGCUCG
This 936-nucleotide ribosomal RNA is filed under the name uncultured organism. Its description in RNAcentral is "bacterial SSU rRNA". It matches the Rfam family "Bacterial small subunit ribosomal RNA", at positions 93 to 1062 of the family's 1533-position model. The record is from RNAcentral.